UGCAUCGGCCGGGAAUCGAACCCGGGGCGCUCGCGUGGCAGGCGAGCAUUCUACCACUUAACCAAAAGC
Molecule: transfer RNA, 69 nt
Filed under: Cordylochernes scorpioides
Lineage: Eukaryota; Metazoa; Arthropoda; Arachnida; Pseudoscorpiones; Chernetidae
Description: tRNA-Gly
Source: RNAcentral